CAGAGAGAGUCACAACCACCCCAAGGACAGGUCCAGCUGUUGGAUUUAGUAGAGAUAUACUUACAUUCCACAUCAAGAUGACAACCAUCUGCAAGAAACAAUGAAGCCCUCGGCAGUGUCUGAGACACAGAAUCUCAGGCUAAUCGAGCUGAGCAGUAUUCCUUUGCGUGUAUGCACCAUGUCUUCUUCAUUCACUCGUCCACCCAUGGGCACUCAAGCUGUUUUCAUAUUUUGACUGCUGGUCUGUCACAGUCUGCUGUGGGCUUCCUGGGGAUGAGGCCACUGGGAUCCAAGAGAAAGCAAGUGGGGGCUCCCUGUACCCUGCAGUUUACCAUUCAGAAAUCCCAGAGCAUCACUUGCAAUGCAGUGUUUGGGUCAAGGCAAGUUCCAAGGUCAGCCAAGGGCUCACACAUAACCACUUGAUGUGGUUACAAGGUGAUUACUUUUUGGAGACCACCCACCACAACAAGCACUGCUUCACAGUCAACAGCGUCCGUUGGCAGAAAACAAAGAAAAUUCAACAACCACCCUGACAAAGAGGCCUAUUAAAGCAAA
This is a long non-coding RNA of Talpa occidentalis (Iberian mole), 555 nucleotides long. RefSeq lists it as uncharacterized. Lineage: Eukaryota; Metazoa; Chordata; Mammalia; Eulipotyphla; Talpidae. The record is from RefSeq and is a predicted model, not a curated record. The transcript has 3 exons.